AACUUAAAGGAAUUGACGGGGCCCGCACAAGCGGAGGAGCAUGUGGUUUAAUUCGAUGAUACGCGAGGAACCUUACCUGGGCUCGAACGUAAGAUGACUGUAGGUGAAAGCUUACAUCUCUUCGGAGCAUUUUACGAGGUGCUGCAUGGUUGUCGUCAGCUCGUGCCGUGAGGUGUCGGGUUAAGUCCCAUAACGAGCGCAACCCCUACCUUUAGUUGCCAUCAGGUUAAGCUGGGGACUCUAAAGGAACUGCCUACGCAAGUAGUGAGGAAGGCGGGGAUGACGUCAAAUCAGCACGGCCCUUACGUCCAGGGCUACACACGUGCUACAAUGGUCGGUACAAAGGGUUGCCAAGCCGCGAGGUGGAGCUAAUCCCAUAAAACCGAUCGUAGUCCGGAUCGCAGUCUGCAACUCGACUGCGUGAAGUCGGAAUCGCUAGUAAUCGUGAAUCAGAAUGUCACGGUGAAUACGUUCCCGGGCCUU
This 483-nucleotide ribosomal RNA is filed under the name uncultured Sphingobacteriales bacterium. Its description in RNAcentral is "bacterial SSU rRNA". It matches the Rfam family "Bacterial small subunit ribosomal RNA", at positions 898 to 1382 of the family's 1533-position model. Lineage: Bacteria; Pseudomonadati; Bacteroidota; Sphingobacteriia; Sphingobacteriales. The record is from RNAcentral.